Molecule: unclassified non-coding RNA, 306 nt
Filed under: plant metagenome
Description: partial contains 5.8S ribosomal RNA, internal transcribed spacer 2, and large subunit ribosomal RNA
Rfam family: 5.8S ribosomal RNA (bases 1-105)
Source: RNAcentral
GAAAUGCGAUAAGUAAUGUGAAUUGCAGAAUUCAGUGAAUCAUCGAAUCUUUGAACGCACAUUGCGCCCGCCAGUAUUCUGGCGGGCAUGCCUGUUCGAGCGUCAUUUCAACCAUCAAGCCCCCCGGCUUGUGUUGGGGACCUGCGGCUGCCCGCAGGCCCUGAAAAACAGUGGCGGGCUCGCUGUCACACCGAGCGUAGUAGCAUACAUUCUCGCUCAGGGCGUGCUGCGGGUUCCGGCCGUUAAACGACCUUCAUAACCCAAGGUUGACCUCGGAUCAGGUAGGAAGACCCGCUGAACUUAAGC